UCCUACGGGACGCAGCAGUGGGGAAUAUUGCACAAUGGGGGAAACCCUGAUGCAGCGGCGCCGCGUGAGUGAGGAAGUAUUUCGGUAUGUAAAGCUCUAUCAGCAGGGAAGAAAAAAUGACGGUACCUGACUAAGAAGCACCGGCUAAAUACGUGCCAGCAGCCGCGGUAAUACGUAUGGUGCAAGCGUUAUCCGGAUUUACUGGGUGUAAAGGGAGCGCAGGCGGCGUGGCAAGUCAGAUGUGAAAACCAGGGGCCCAACCCCGGGAGUGCAUUUGAAACUG
RNAcentral lists this ribosomal RNA (283 nucleotides) under uncultured bacterium. RNAcentral describes it as "partial 16S ribosomal RNA". It matches the Rfam family "Bacterial small subunit ribosomal RNA", at positions 337 to 635 of the family's 1533-position model. The record is from RNAcentral.